Molecule: ribosomal RNA, 446 nt
Filed under: uncultured bacterium
Lineage: Bacteria
Description: partial 16S ribosomal RNA
Rfam family: Bacterial small subunit ribosomal RNA
Source: RNAcentral
CCUACGGUGUGCUGCAGUCGAGAAUUAUUCACAAUGGGGGAAACCCUGAUGGUGCGACGCCGCGUGGGGGAAUGAAGGUCUUCGGAUUGUAAACCCCUGGCAUGUGGGAGCAAAUUAAAAAGAUAGUACCACAAGAGGAAGAGACGGCUAACUCUGUGCCAGCAGACGCGGUAAUACAGAGGGCUCAAGCGUUGUUCGGAAUCACUGGGCGUAAGGCGUGAGUAGGCCGUUUCGUAAGUCGUGUGUGAAAGGCGCGGGCUCAACCCGCGGACGGCACAUGAUACUGCGAGACUAGAGUAAUGGAGGGGGAACCGGAAGUCUCGGGGUAGCAGUGAAAUGCGUAGAUAUCGAGAGGAACACUCGUGGCGAAGGCGGGUUCCUGGACAUUAACUGACGCUGAGGCACGAAGGUCAGGGGAGCGAAAGGGAUUAGAUACCCUAGUAGUC